RNAcentral lists this ribosomal RNA (274 nucleotides) under uncultured bacterium. Its description in RNAcentral is "partial 16S ribosomal RNA". It matches the Rfam family "Bacterial small subunit ribosomal RNA", at positions 523 to 796 of the family's 1533-position model. The record is from RNAcentral.
AUACAGAGGGCUCAAGCGUUAAUCGGUAUCACUGGGCUUAAAGGGUGCGUAGGCGGGCCUGUAAGUGCUUUGUGAAAUCCCACGGCUCAACCGUGGAAUUGCUUGGCAGACUGCAGGUCUUGAGGUCGGUAGGGGCUGCCGGAACUCUAGGUGUAGCGGUGAAAUGCGUAGAUAUCUAGAGGAACACCAAAGGUGAAGACAGGCAGCUGGGCCAAUCCUGACGCUGAGGCACGAAAGCGUGGGUAGCGAACGGGAUUAGAAACCCCAGUAGUCC